GGAGAGGUGGCGGAGCUCGGUCGAACGCGCCUGAUUCGAAAUCAGGUGUACCUUUACGGGUACCGUGGGUUCAAAUCCCACCCUCUCCGCCA
This 92-nucleotide transfer RNA is filed under the name Myxococcales bacterium. Its description in RNAcentral is "tRNA-Ser". It matches the Rfam family "tRNA". From Rfam's summary of the family: Transfer RNA (tRNA) molecules are approximately 80 nucleotides in length. Their secondary structure includes four short double-helical elements and three loops (D, anti-codon, and T loops). Further hydrogen bonds mediate the characteristic L-shaped molecular structure. tRNAs have two regions of fundamental functional importance: the anti-codon, which is responsible for specific mRNA codon recognition, and the 3' end, to which the tRNAs corresponding amino acid is attached (by aminoacyl-tRNA synthetases). tRNAs cope with the degeneracy of the genetic code in two manners: having more than one tRNA (with a specific anti-codon) for a particular amino acid; and 'wobble' base-pairing, i.e. permitting non-standard base-pairing at the 3rd anti-codon position. Lineage: Bacteria; Pseudomonadati; Myxococcota; Myxococcia; Myxococcales. The record is from RNAcentral.